CAAUAGCGUAUAUUAAAGUUGUUGCGGUUAAAAAGCUCGUAGUUGGAUUUCUGCUGAGGAUGACCGGUCCGCCCUGUGGGUGUGCAUCUGGCUCAGCCUUGGCAUCUUCCUGAAGAACGUAGCUGCACUUGACUGUGUGGUGCGGUAUUUAGGACAUUUACUUUGAGGAAAUUAGAGUGUUUCAAGCAAGCGCACGCUUUGAAUACAUUAGCAUGGAAUAAUAAGAUAGGACCUUGGUUCUAUUUUGUUGGUUUCUAGAGCUGAGGUAAUGAUUGAUAGGGAUAGUUGGGGGCAUUCGUAUUUAACUGUCAGAGGUGAAAUUCUUGGAUUUGUUAAAGACGGACUGCUGCGAAAGCAUUUGCCAAGGAUGUUUUCAUUGA
Molecule: ribosomal RNA, 380 nt
Filed under: uncultured eukaryote
Lineage: Eukaryota
Description: partial 18S ribosomal RNA
Rfam family: Eukaryotic small subunit ribosomal RNA
Source: RNAcentral